This 252-nucleotide ribosomal RNA is filed under the name uncultured bacterium. RNAcentral describes it as "partial 16S ribosomal RNA". It matches the Rfam family "Bacterial small subunit ribosomal RNA", at positions 524 to 775 of the family's 1533-position model. The record is from RNAcentral.
UACAGAGGGUGCGAGCGUUAAUCGGAAUUACUGGGCGUAAAGCGUGCGUAGACGGCUAUCUAAGUCGGGUGUGAAAGCCCCGGGCUCAACCUGGGAAUUGCAUUCGAGACUGAAUAGCUAGGGUACGGUAGAGGGAAGUGGAAUUUCCGGUGUAGCGGUGAAAUGCGUAGAUAUCGGAAGGAACAUCAGUGGCGAAAGCGACUUCCUGGACCAGUACCGACGUUCAGGCACGAAAGCGUGGGGAGCAAACAG